This 259-nucleotide ribosomal RNA is filed under the name uncultured bacterium. Its description in RNAcentral is "partial 16S ribosomal RNA". It matches the Rfam family "Bacterial small subunit ribosomal RNA", at positions 99 to 354 of the family's 1533-position model. The record is from RNAcentral.
CGGACGGGUGAGUAACGCGUGGGCAACCUGCCCUGUACAGGGGGAUAACACUUAGAAAUAGGUGCUAAUACCGCAUGAGCGCACAAAGGCGCAUGCCUAUGUGCGGGAAGCCCGCGAGGGCGGUACGGGAUGGGCCCGCGUCUGAUUAGCCAGUUGGUAGGGUAACGGCCUACCAAAGCGACGAUCAGUAGCCGGCCUGAGAGGGUGGACGGCCACAUUGGGACUGGGACACGGCCCAAACUCCUACGGGAGGCAGCAG